This is a long non-coding RNA of Coregonus clupeaformis (lake whitefish), 819 nucleotides long. RefSeq lists it as uncharacterized. NCBI's taxonomy places the organism in Eukaryota, Metazoa, Chordata, Actinopteri, Salmoniformes, Salmonidae. The record is from RefSeq and is a predicted model, not a curated record. The transcript is spliced from 3 exons.
UUCUCAGGAGACAGGUCAGUGUGUGUGUAGAGAACAUAUGUCUGACAAGGUGGAGUCAGGCUUUUACUUCAUCACCCUGGACAACUACACCUACGACCUACGAGGCAGAGGACGCCAAGUUUGGACCUUUACCAAACCAGUGGGAGGAGGUAUUGUCCCAGUGUGAUCUCAAACAGUUGCUGUGCCAACACCAUGCCUGACGACAACCAGAUGAUUUUCCUCCACCCUGGAUCACGACCUGUGUUUUCGGCAGGGAUGGACUACACUGUUCUCCCCAGACCUGUGUUUUCGGCAGGGAUGGACUACACUGUUCGUCUGAGCUUGCCCCUCUACUCUGCACUCAUCGAUUCGGUUCAUUCCCACACACACUGUUAAACACCUAGACACAACUGAGACUUUUGCGUAAAUCAUGCAUUGAUGUUGCUUGAAUAAAAAUGUGAGCUAUAAGGAUUUUAAGGUGGGAUUCAGCCCUUCGACUCCAUACUAAAUUGAAUUAUAUCUUCUGUAUCUUUCUGUCCUCUAUAGAUUGUGCUGAUGCCCCACUGUAAGAACCUGCAGCCUUAUUUAUAAACAUACAUUUCACACUACAUUUCUGCAUGCACCGUUUCUGAAAAGUCUGCGCACGUACAAAAAUAUUGAGAUUUAUAAACUUGCCGCACGCCAUACAUACGCAUGUUUCCCAUUAUAAAUCAGACCUGUCAUAAAACUGUGGGUGCGUGAACGUGCAUUAUAACUCCGCCUGAAACGCCCUCAUUCACCUUUUAUGGUAACAAUAACGCCCUUUAUUUUCUGUAAUUUGGAACUAUUGGCAUUAGGCCA